UUUUGAAAGAAAAGUACUUUUGAAAUAUUAUGGUACAUCGAUUAUGCAUAUGUUCAGUGAAAAAUUAUGAUAUAUUAUGAUACAAAAGUGUUUUGAUACAGAUCAGAUUUAUGCUCUCAGCCUAACUAUGUUUCAGUGGGCUCCGCCAAUGGGGAUUAUACGUUGGUACUCAAUGGACCCUGCCAGUGGGGGUUGUGCGCUGGUAUUUAGUGGACCUUGCUAGUGGGG
Molecule: long non-coding RNA, 228 nt
Filed under: Elaeis guineensis (African oil palm)
Lineage: Eukaryota; Viridiplantae; Streptophyta; Magnoliopsida; Arecales; Arecaceae
Description: long non-coding RNA (EGUI_LNC056295)
Source: RNAcentral